Molecule: long non-coding RNA, 813 nt
Filed under: Mus musculus (house mouse)
Lineage: Eukaryota; Metazoa; Chordata; Mammalia; Rodentia; Muridae
Description: RIKEN cDNA 2610035D17 gene
Source: RNAcentral
AUCUUGUGACGGCGAAUGUGGGGGCGGCUCCCAACAGUCACCCAUCCAUUAGUGGCUCAUGUGUUCUUAAGACAAACUCAGCAGGCUGUACCUGUCCAGAGCUCCCUCACGAGAUUCUUGUGAAACAAAAGGAGCUCCUCUCUAGAAGAUCUUGAAAAGUCAAGUGUGGGGAGGCAACCGCAGAGCCCUACUUCCUGGAUGGGAAGACGGAUGCUGAGGAAGGUGCCGCCUUGUAACCAGAUGUUAUCCAUCCACACUGGACGGGAGGAAAUGAGCCUCAGGGGCCCUGGGAAUUCUGGCCAGAUUUAUAAGAACAUCUUCAAAUGUAGAAGCUUCAGAGUCCUUGGGAGUGUCCGCAGGAAUUGGUGAGCUCGGAAGGACCUCUCUGGAGUCCACCAAUAUCAAGUCGAUUGCCAAGCAUCCUGAUACUUACCUGUUUACUCAGCUGUCAGCUAUGUGCCAAGCGCAGAUACCCUUAAGUUGUAUGUGGCGGUUGUCAAUGUCUUCCCAAAGAAGAGACACACACCUGCUUGUUCACAGAGCUCUGCAAUCAGAUGAUGGGCGUGGACCAAAAGGAGUCUGCAGAACCAUCGAUAGCCUUCUGGGAGUCUUAUCAGGCUAGAUCUUAAGCACAGGGGUUAAUGGAUGGAGAGCUGCUGGGACUGGGGGAUACGGAGUAAGAAAUGCUCAGUUGUGAGCACAGGACCUCUCCAGGGACAGACGCCCCAGUGUCUCACCUCUUGAAAUCAGCCACCAAUAUUCCAUUUUGCAAUAGAUCAUUAAAAGUUUUCGUUUCUCAGCUUCUCCUGAAAA